Non-coding RNA from Drosophila virilis, 2726 nucleotides. The record is from RefSeq and is a predicted model, not a curated record. Lineage: Eukaryota; Metazoa; Arthropoda; Insecta; Diptera; Drosophilidae.
AACACCACACUUUCUAACCCGAGCAGGGAAUUGCCGAUUUUACGACUUGACAAAUUUGGGUGUCUGUGUAUGAACUUCUUACUUGAACAUGUGGAACCUAGAAUAGUGUACACAUUUGCACACAACCAUAUCAGUACGUACACACGUACGCAUCAAGUUCUCUUCGCUGAUUUUCGUCGCUACUCUUGUUUCGAUUCAGUUUUAUAAAGGACGUGCUACGCGAUGUGUCAAAAGUAUUUUUUUUAUCGUCGGUCUAACUUCCUGCUGAACGCCUUGUUGCACGCUUUAAGUAAAUCGUGAACAGUGAACGGUAAACCACACUUUCUUGUUACCAUCGACCAUUGCCGAUACCUCGUCGGCAACCGUGUUAUUGGCAUUAUUGGCCUAAUGAAUGUUAUAUAUUGUAUUUUUUUUUGUUGCUGCUUUUCAAAAUAAGUGAUAAAUAAAUAAAGAGAAUGUGCUGAACAUCCAAAAAAUGGUUUCCAAGUUUUGCAAACGAAGCGAACGUUGUGGGUACCUUGUAAUAAUUUUCUGUUAGCAUAAGUUCCACAUGUGUGUGUAAUCAUGCUUGGUUGGAGAGGAGUGGGGCUUAUAUCCACUGCUACUGAUAAUUGUUGGUGCAAAAUAAAAUAACACUUAAGUGGUACAAGCUGGCUAUAAAAAUUAUCAUAUUUCAGUGACAGACGCGCUAAUAUUGGAUAGUAACAUUUUAAGUUCCUGCAUUGGAUAUUCAACAAAUUUUAUUUGAAUGUUAAUAAUACUUAAAAAUGAAAAUACAAUCUGAUGCGAAUACAACAUUGAGGAUACAACAUUGACACAUUAUAUAACAUAAGGCAUUGAACAACUUUACUUUCGUUAUGAGUUCCGUGGAUCACAGUGCACCAUACAUAGUUGAUAAAAGUUAAUUUCAUUUUCAUAACAUUACCGCAAGCCAUCUACAAGUGAGCACUCAGUUUUGCACCGACAUCGCUCCUCAAAGCAGUUAAGUAGCAGAAAACUGCAGAUUAAUACCAACAUAAGCUAUACAACACCUAACGCUACCAACAGAUUUGGAUCUAAAAUGUCGUCAAAUUGGCUCCUCCUCCUUGGUCUGGUAACUUUAUUGACAGGGAGAUCUCACGGCGCCUCGAAGCGUUUCUUUACAGACUUUCUGCAAGAUCUACCCACACCAGGCACAGGUGGACCUACCUUUGAUACAACUAUAACUAGCAACAUUACCGGUCUUGUGGGAAAAACUGUAAAGUUGACCUGCCGUGUUAAAAAUCUUGGAAAUCGCACGGUAUCUUGGGUCCGUCAUCGGGAUAUACAUCUUCUAACUGUUGGCCGUUAUACGUAUACAUCAGAUCAGCGAUUCGAAGCAAUGCACUCGCCACAUGCCGAAGACUGGACCCUUCGUAUACGUUAUGCCCAGCGCAAGGACUCAGGCAUAUAUGAAUGUCAGAUCUCCACAACACCACCAAUCGGUCAUUCAGUCUAUUUGAAUAUUGUGGAGCCUAUCACGGAGGUCAUUGGCGGGCCCGAGCUACACAUCAAUAAAGGUUCCACCAUUAAUUUAACUUGCAUUGUAAGAUUUGCACCGGAACCACCCCCAACCGUUAUCUGGUCGCACAAUCGGCAGGUUAUAAAUUUUGAUUCACCGCGAGGUGGCAUAUCAUUGGUCACCGAAAAAGGUGUGUUGACCACCAGCCGGCUGCUAGUGCAGAAGGCUAUCCAACAAGAUUCUGGGCUUUAUACAUGUACACCAUCGAAUGCCAAUCCGACGUCGGUGCGGGUGCACAUCGUCGAUGGUGAGUAGCACGCAUUUACUAUCGCAUGAAAAAUCACGUGUGUGAAUAUUUCAGUCGGCGGCAACCAAUUUCGUAAUACUCGCUCAUAGUCCAAUAACAGGUUAAUUUAGUUGAUGGGAUUGAAGAUGUUUUCUUUUGCUUGUUACAAACAUGUGCACAGGAACACUAUAAUCCUUUUUAAAAUGUAGGCCAAAUAUGAUUUUAUAAUUUGUUUUCAUACCCUAAUCUUAAUUUCGAAAUGCCAGCCCUCAAGCAGUGCCGCUAGCCCCGUACAGUUUACAACACGAUGAACCUGCUCAACGAACGAAGUUCGCAGAUAAGCAUGUAGGUAUUCGGGCUGUAUGGGACCUUAUCUCUUGUUGGCAUCUUGGCGACAAAUCCUUGCUCUCCAGAGCCAAAAAGUAGCCAAUAUCAAGGAAAACCUGGAAAGCCGCCACAUCUGUAACACGACUGCGUCAGGGUGAGCCUUUGUUAGUUUCUCAUCGACAGCGUCUAUCCCAGACGCCUUGCAUAACUUUAACCUCUUAAUUUGCGUUCGCACUUCAUGCUCCACCACAAGCCCGAUGAUGCAUUCCGACAAUUUUAUCUUUCGAGAGUUGAAUAACGUUGAAUAGUGAGAUCGCUCGCAUCCCCGAAGUGAUGACGGUCGUCCAAUGCCAGUGGCAACAAAUACAGAAACUGCCUAUUAAUGCGGAUAAGACAAAAUAACAAAAACAUGGAAUUUAAGCAACAAGCGGCUGACGACUGCAGCAUCACCGCCAAGACGCUUAAAAUUGCCUCAAAGAAGCGAGAAGGCCAUUUAGCUCAUUCACAUGCAAAGAAUCCAUAGCCCUUGCGGGCUCCAAGUCAACUCUAGUGCUUUCAGGAGAGCAUCCUGCGGCCAUGCAUCAUGGAAACUCUGCGCCCUUGCAGCCGCCGGAAUUCUUUUUACUAGUGCUG